RNAcentral lists this ribosomal RNA (253 nucleotides) under uncultured bacterium. RNAcentral's name for it is "partial 16S ribosomal RNA". It matches the Rfam family "Bacterial small subunit ribosomal RNA", at positions 524 to 776 of the family's 1533-position model. The record is from RNAcentral.
GACGUAGGAGGCGAGCGUUGUCCGGAUUCAUUGGGCGUAAAGAGCACGCAGGCGGUUUGGCAAGUCGGAUGUGAAAACCCGGAGCUCAACUCCGGGCGUGCAUCCGAUACUGCCCGACUAGAGGUAGGUAGGGGAGAUCGGAAUUCCUGGUGUAGCGGUGAAAUGCGCAGAUAUCAGGAGGAACACCGGUGGCGAAGGCGGAUCUCUGGGCCGACACUGACGCUGAUGCGCGAAAGCCAGGGGAGCGAACGGG